GCCGGGGUGCCCGAGUGGACUAAGGGGUGGGCCUUGAGAGCCCAUGCCCCUUCGGGGGCUCCCGGGUUCGAAUCCCGGCCCCGGCGCCA
RNAcentral lists this transfer RNA (89 nucleotides) under Thermofilum sp. RNAcentral's name for it is "tRNA-Ser". It matches the Rfam family "tRNA". From Rfam's summary of the family: Transfer RNA (tRNA) molecules are approximately 80 nucleotides in length. Their secondary structure includes four short double-helical elements and three loops (D, anti-codon, and T loops). RNAcentral also lists the same sequence under 1 other name. Lineage: Archaea; Thermoproteati; Thermoproteota; Thermoprotei; Thermofilales; Thermofilaceae. The record is from RNAcentral.